UACGUAGGGCGCAAGCGUUGUCCGGAAUUAUUGGGCGUAAAGAGCUCGUAGGCGGCUUGUCGCGUCGAUUGUGAAAGCCCGGGGCUUAACUCCGGGCCUGCAGUCGAUACGGGCAGGCUAGAGUGUGGUAGGGGAGAUCGGAAUUCCUGGUGUAGCGGUGAAAUGCGCAGAUAUCAGGAGGAACACCGGUGGCGAAGGCGGAUCUCUGGGCCAUUACUGACGCUGAGGAGCGAAAGCGUGGGGAGCGAACAGG
RNAcentral lists this ribosomal RNA (253 nucleotides) under uncultured bacterium. RNAcentral describes it as "partial 16S ribosomal RNA". It matches the Rfam family "Bacterial small subunit ribosomal RNA", at positions 524 to 776 of the family's 1533-position model. The record is from RNAcentral.